AUUGAACGCUGGCGGCAUGCUUUGCACAUGCAAGUCGAACGGCAGCGCGGGCUUCGGCCCGGCGGCGAGUGGCGAACGGGUGAGUAAUACAUCGGAACGUGCCCAGUAGUGGGGGAUAGCUCGGCGAAAGCCGGAUUAAUACCGCAUACGACCUGAGGGUGAAAGCGGGGGAUCUUCGGACCUCGCGCUAUUGGAACGGCCGAUGGCAGAUUAGCUAGUUGGUGGGGUAAAGGCCUACCAAGGCGACGAUCUGUAGCUGGUCUGAGAGGACGACCAGCCACACUGGGACUGAGACACGGCCCAGACUCCUACGGGAGGCAGCAGUGGGGAAUUUUGGACAAUGGGCGAAAGCCUGAUCCAGCAAUGCCGCGUGUGUGAUGAAGGCCUUCGGGUUGUAAAGCACUUUUGGCGGGAACGAAAAGGACUGUGCCAAUACCACGGUUCGAUGACGGUACCCGCAGAAUAAGCACCGGCUAACUACGUG
This 484-nucleotide ribosomal RNA is filed under the name uncultured bacterium. RNAcentral's name for it is "partial 16S ribosomal RNA". It matches the Rfam family "Bacterial small subunit ribosomal RNA", at positions 29 to 507 of the family's 1533-position model. The record is from RNAcentral.